CCGAAAAUAACGCUCGCGUCUUCCUCCUUUGCUAAGCUCCUUCCUCCCGCUGCCGCAACCCUACGUCGCGUCUUCUUGCCUGGCUGCUCUCCCUACCUCUCCCUUUUAUCGGUGGUGCGGUUCUUCUUCUAGGUGGCUCCUCAGGCGGUUUCCGUUGGACCUGGAAUUCAUCCCGCGUGUUUCCUCCCUCGGCGGUUCUUCUUACUCUCGUCCCCAAAUUCGACUCAAAGAAGAGGCGUACGCUCAGGUCGAGUGAAGAAAACGUUGGGCUUCUUCGUCCAGAAUCUCAUUGUCUCCAGCUUCUCUGUCCAGAAGCUGCCCAAGUCCACCAUCAUAGCCUUCAAUGUAGAGUCGCAUGCCACAGCCAACCAGCAGAACUCAGCCGGUUUCUCGUGCUAUAUUUUGGAUUUUAAAGGUAAAGCUGUUAGGAUUUUCCCCCUCAGUUUGUGAAUUGGAUGUUGUAUUUUGUUGUUAAAAGUAGAUGAAGAAAUUCAAGUGAAUCAUGCAUUUGGUUUUUUCCUAAGAUCAUUUGUGCACUGAUAUUCAUUUCGCUGCUUUUGUCUAUUUGUUAAUGCUGCUUAAAAUUAUUUAGAAGAUGUUGUAUUGCUUUUCAAAUGGAGGAAACUGCAUACAAACUUUUUCCUGUUGCUGUUUGACUUAUGAUACUUUUCCUGUUAAUCCUAACUAUGAUUUUUCUUCUCAUACGUAUCUCAGACCAGCUUUUCAGACUUUGGUCUUCACAGAUCGUGCUUGAUGAAAAUAUUCAUUGGAAGCGUAAUCGUUCUCAUUACUAAGUUGUUGUCCAUAGCUGAGUAUUGAAUGAGUUCCUUCUAACAAGUUCCUUAUAGUCAAUUUCAGCUUCAUUUUGGGUUUGGCAACACUAUUUUUUUUAAUCUUUCAAAGGUUGUCCAUACCUCUCAUCAACUUGAGUCGUAGCUAUGUUGUCAAAUGCUAUUUGGGGCUUCUGCCUAGGUUCUCCUAGGCUGUCGGGCUUGUCUAAUUGCUUAAGCUAGUCAGCUUCAGGUGAAUUGUAAUUAUAGAUUUAGCAGUUAGCAUUUAUGAAAUGGUAAGGUUUUGCCUUGGAAGAAGCCCUUAAAAGCUCUAGUUCCUUGAGAAUUAAGGAGCAUGAAGAUGUCCAUGUGAAAGCUGGUCGUCCAGAGUGGUGGCCGGCAGAGUGGGGUCAUGAGCAGGAAUAAGACUCAGACGUCGUUGUUUAUAGCUGUCCCUAGUUCUCAUCCUUUUUAUUUAACACCCUUGCCUUGUAAACUGAUGCUGUGAGUUGUGAAAGUUGGCGACCUCCUCAGCUAGCUCAUUGAUGGGGGCGUCACGGGUGGGAGAGAUGAAAGUUAAAGAUAUCAAUUUUGUACCGUGAUCAGUAGUAAAUGUAUUGAAAUUGUGUUGCUGGCA
Molecule: long non-coding RNA, 1407 nt
Organism: Nymphaea colorata (pocket water lily)
Lineage: Eukaryota; Viridiplantae; Streptophyta; Magnoliopsida; Nymphaeales; Nymphaeaceae
Exons: 3
Source: RefSeq, a predicted model, not a curated record